CACAUCAUGACAAAAACCUCCUCACUGCUCACAUUCACUUCUGCUUUUACACAACAUGAAAAACCUCUUCAUCUCAAGUUCUUUCAUUCAUAUUCAAUCAUUAUUCUACAGCACUGCUCAUCUUUACACUCAACACACACCAAAUCACAAGAUGAUGAAAAUAUUCUGCACUUUCUGCACUCUUCUCACCUGUGUCAGUGGUGUGACUGUAGUGACUCAGGAUCCUCCAGUUCUCACAGUGAAUAAAGGACAGAAAGUCACUCUCAGCUGUAAUCUGGGAACAGUUACUGGUUCAUCUGCUCGCUGGUAUAAACAGACUCCAGGAGGAAUUCCUCAAUAUGUGUUAAGAUUUCGUCAUGGCUGGAGCUCAGUUAAUUAUGGAUCUGGUUUCUCUGCUCCUAAAUUCACAUCAACACAUUCAUCUAAAUCAGAUUAUAGUUUGAUCAUUAAUAAUGUUGAGAUCGGAGAUUCAGCAGUUUAUUACUGUCACACUUGGGAUGCUUCUGUUAAAGAGGAGGUAUCACAUGUGGUAUUCGGACAAGGAACAAAACUGAUGGUGACUGAUUCUGCUGUUCCUCCUCCGGUUGUGAAUAUUCUCUCUUAUUAG
Molecule: non-coding RNA, 607 nt
Organism: Xyrauchen texanus (razorback sucker)
Lineage: Eukaryota; Metazoa; Chordata; Actinopteri; Cypriniformes; Catostomidae
Source: the annotation of a RefSeq genome assembly